UCAGCUCCGUAUUUUUUAAAUACUUCGUGUCACGCAGGAAAGCCUGAGUCAUUGUCCAAGGCAUGCUGUUAUCAGCAGAGGUCUGUUGGUAAUGUUUCCCUCCCGGGGCUCAGCAUGUUAGUAGGCUUUAACUGGAAAUCUGCAGCGACAGAAGAGGAUUGCAUCACUCGCCGCGGGCACUGGGAAUCGGGGGGACACGGCCGCACAGCUGCGGACGGUGCCAGGAGAAACCAGGGCUCCCAGCUGAAGCUGCUGUAGCCGGAAUAAAAUCUUUACAGGUCACACUUCUGAUGUACCGGUGGGGCCAACAGCUCGAGUCAGAUGUGGCUGGCAGGUUUGGGAUGCAAGAGGGGAGUCGAAGGAGAUGGAUGAGCCAGCGAGGAGUGGUCUGAGAUAUGGCGAAGCAGAGAGGAGCUGGCAGGAGACACCUGAGCACGGGGACAGAGCAGCACGGGACUGCAGGAGGGGUGCACAGCACCCAGGCUGGAGAAUUUGUACAGAAAGUCCUCGGGCUUUGUCUCCAUACCAGCAGUUCCUCCAACUGGAAGCCUGUUCCUUUGGUUCCCAGACUAAAUAUAAUCAUGACCUGCUUAUCUUUGCUUGAGUUUGGGCCAUGAUUUUGCAAAAAUCUAACACCCAGCCCACAUAUGUACUUGAAAUGCUGUCUCAUAUCAGAUGCUUAGACCAAAUCCCGCAAUUCUUGCACGUAGGAAAAAAACUCCCAGUGACUUUGGUGACCCUAUUACCCAUAUAAUGUUGCAAUAAGGGCUUGGAGGCUUGGCCCACUGCAGACCAGCUCCUUAUUCCAGCAGCUCCUGCCUUCUCAGCCAUGUACCCACAUAGUCCAGCCGUUAGUCCAGCAGCAGCAUGAGGUGAGUUACGUACUGGAGAUUCAAAGCGGUGCUUUCCAUCCCUGCAAUAAUGCUGCUGUAAAUGCAAAACCGCCUGCCUUCACGUUUGUCCUGGGGCUCUGCAGAAGUUAAGAUUCAAGCACGCUCCAGCUGAGAACUUACAAAAUAGCAGCAGGGGGUUUGCAUCACCAGCAAGUUCGGUCACAGCAGAGCUCUGGCUUCCUCCGUCCCCCUGCCGCGGUGCUUCCCUCGCUGCAGGAAGCAGUGCGGGAGGAAAGGCUGCUCUGGGUUGCACCCAGCCCCUGCCCUCGGUGGAAGUGCUGCUGACGUGCCGCCCAUCCGUUUCGGCAGCGGGUUCCUUGAAACAUAGCACCGUGCCCACUACAGUCUCACACCGUGAGCUCAUACGCUUGUCAGAUGGAGAUGAAAGCUCCCCAGCACUAACAGCAGCAACACUCAAACCUCUGAAUUCAGCUUUGAAGAUAGCAGCCCACAAAGCUACGGAGGCUGGCUCCUUUCUGCUUCAUCCUGUGCUGACUCAGUGGGACGAUUUACAUCCUACAGCUGUUUUUACAAGGAAACAAUGAAAAAAACAUCAUUUUUUUUUACUAGAUUCUUGGGUUCUCAAGAACUGUUUGCAGAAAGCCUGGCUAAGUUUCCAUGCCCAUUUAUCCCUUGGCUUAUUUGAUAAGCUUGCCAGCAGGAAAGAUUUUAAUUCCUUUUUAUGCCAAAUUAUUUUUUCACAGCUGUGACAUGAGAUGAUUCCGCCCAAUAAUUUAGGCUCAAAAUUUGACCUAUAUUGAAUGUCGUAAGAUGCUAAGGAUGUUCUUAGGAUUUUAAGGGGAGACUUUGUACUGCACCGUAUUAUUUUAAUAGCUUUUAAUGAAAGCCUACAAGAAAACAGUGUAUGUUUCCAAUCUUAUUACUAUUAGUAUUAAGUACUGUUAAUACUAUAAGACAAACAUUGAUGUCCUACUUGUAACUGUAUGUAACAACAAAAAUAAAAGGAUCUUAUGAAACAGUCAUAUGAAAA
This is a long non-coding RNA of Cygnus olor (mute swan), 1884 nucleotides long. RefSeq lists it as uncharacterized. The record is from RefSeq and is a predicted model, not a curated record. The transcript has 2 exons. Lineage: Eukaryota; Metazoa; Chordata; Aves; Anseriformes; Anatidae.